GGGGCUGACCGGUUUCGACGUCGGGACCAGGAGGCCGCGGAGUGCGACCGGAGUUGCUCAGACUCCCUAAACGGGGCAACCAAAGAGACGCCGAAGACGACGCUCUCGUUCUCGCCGCCUGAUCAGACCUGAUCUAGCAGCGAGAAUCAUCGCGACCAGCAAUGGCACGCGGGGCCGGACCGCUGCAGCCUGGCACCAGAAGCAGGGGUGGACGACGGGGAGAGACCCGCUGACAGCCGGCAAAGACCGCUGACACCGGAGAAAGAUCCGGCGGCCGGAUCCUCGGAUCCGCACGACCCGGCGUAGCGGCAGCCGCGAGCCGCAGACUCGGGAAUGGUCGUAGCGAGCCCGGCAUCCGCCUGACGGACGGGAGUUCGAUUCUCCCCAGCUCCACCA
RNAcentral lists this transfer-messenger RNA (396 nucleotides) under Acidimicrobiaceae bacterium. It matches the Rfam family "transfer-messenger RNA". From Rfam's summary of the family: Bacterial tmRNA, also known as 10Sa RNA or SsrA, is named for its dual tRNA and mRNA-like properties. Its role is to liberate the mRNA from a stalled ribosome. The record is from RNAcentral. Lineage: Bacteria; Bacillati; Actinomycetota; Acidimicrobiia; Acidimicrobiales; Acidimicrobiaceae.